UGAAACUGAUCUCUCCGUGAAGAAGCGGGGAUACUCCUAUAAGACGAAAAGACCCCAUGGAGCUUCAAACCCAACUACACCCUUAACUACCACAACCGCACAACCUCUUAGGGCCCUGUAUAGUUGGUUUUAGGUUGGGGCGACCACGGAGUACAACCAAACCUCCGCAAUGGACGGGACCACUCCCUUAUCUAAGAGCCACACCUCUAAGAAUUAAAACACUAACAUAAAAUGAUCCAUGAUCUGAUCAAUGAACCAAGUUACCCUGGGGAUAACAGCGCAAUCCAUUUCAAGAGCCCUUAUCGACAAGUGGGUUUACGACCUCGAUGUUGGAUCAGGGUAUCCUAGUGGUGCAGCAGCUACUAAUGGUUCGUUUGUUCAACGAUUAAAACCCU
RNAcentral lists this ribosomal RNA (395 nucleotides) under Mantidactylus opiparis. RNAcentral's name for it is "partial 16S ribosomal RNA". It matches the Rfam family "Bacterial large subunit ribosomal RNA", at positions 2037 to 2597 of the family's 2925-position model. Lineage: Eukaryota; Metazoa; Chordata; Amphibia; Anura; Mantellidae. The record is from RNAcentral.